CCCUUAGAUGUCCGGGGCCGCACGCGCGCUACACUGAAGGAAUCAGCGUGGCUUUCUCCCUGACCCGAAAGGGUUGGGAAACCCGUUGAAUCUCCUUCGUGAUAGGGAUUGGGGCUUGAAAUUGUUCCCCAUGAACGAGUAAUUCCCAGUAAGCGCGAGUCAUAAGCUCGCGUUGAUUACGUCCCUGCCCUUUGUACACACCGCCCGUCGCUACUACCGAUUGAACGGUUUAGUGAGGGCCUCGGAUUGGUCUCGGCCCGCUCUUUACCGGGCGGCGCCGUUGGUCGAGAAGACGCUCGAACUUGAUCGUUUAGAGGAAGUAAAAGUCGUAACA
This 334-nucleotide ribosomal RNA is filed under the name uncultured eukaryote. Its description in RNAcentral is "partial 18S ribosomal RNA". It matches the Rfam family "Eukaryotic small subunit ribosomal RNA", at positions 1470 to 1796 of the family's 1831-position model. The record is from RNAcentral.